CGUGCUAUACAUGCAAGUCGAGCGGACAGAUGGGAGCUUGCUCCCUGAUGUUAGCGGCGGACGGGUGAGUAACACGUGGGUAACCUGCCUGUAAGACUGGGAUAACUCCGGGAAACCGGGGCUAAUACCGGAUGGUUGUUUGAACCGCAUGGUUCAAACAUAAAAGGUGGCUUCGGCUACCACUUACAGAUGGACCCGCGGCGCAUUAGCUAGUUGGUGAGGUAACGGCUCACCAAGGCAACGAUGCGUAGCCGACCUGAGAGGGUGAUCGGCCACACUGGGACUGAGACACGGCCCAGACUCCUACGGGAGGCAGCAGUAGGGAAUCUUCCGCAAUGGACGAAAGUCUGACGGAGCAACGCCGCGUGAGUGAUGAAGGUUUUCGGAUCGUAAAGCUCUGUUGUUAGGGAAGAACAAGUACCGUUCGAAUAGGGCGGUACCUUGACGGUACCUAACCAGAAAGCCACGGCUAACUACGUGCCAGCAGCCGCGGUAAUACGUAGGUGGCAAGCGUUGUCCGGAAUUAUUGGGCGUAAAGGGCUCGCAGGCGGUUUCUUAAGUCUGAUGUGAAAGCCCCCGGCUCAACCGGGGAGGGUCAUUGGAAACUGGGGAACUUGAGUGCAGAAGAGGAGAGUGGAAUUCCACGUGUAGCGGUGAAAUGCGUAGAGAUGUGGAGGAACACCAGUGGCGAAGGCGACUCUCUGGUCUGUAACUGACGCUGAGGAGCCGAAAGCGUGGGGAGCGAACAGGAUUAGAUACCCUGGUAGUCCACGCCGUAAACGAUGAGUGCUAAGUGUUAG
This 800-nucleotide ribosomal RNA is filed under the name Bacillus tequilensis. RNAcentral's name for it is "bacterial SSU rRNA". It matches the Rfam family "Bacterial small subunit ribosomal RNA", at positions 43 to 826 of the family's 1533-position model. Lineage: Bacteria; Bacillati; Bacillota; Bacilli; Caryophanales; Bacillaceae. The record is from RNAcentral.